CCAAGCUGGGGACAGCAGAGCCCCCCAGCCCUGCCAUGCUCAUUUGGGUCUUAGGGACUGCAAAGGGUAAACUGGGACCAGAGUAGGGGGGGGGGCUGAAAGCAAACUAAUGAUGAAAAUGUCUCCUCCAUGCCUGUGCCUUAAUUAAAUGCAUGGAGAGGCUCGGGGAAGCACAUCUGUUUUCAAUCUGGAGCCCUUUGAUGGCAUCAAAUGUUCUUUCCCCAGAUCAGGGGGGAUGGAAAUUCUGGGCUGGCUGUGGCAGCUCGGAGCCCAGGCUCCAGCCACCGGGACACAGCAGCCUUUCCUGGCCGGCAGGACCCUGCCCCUCGCUGCCAGCCCUGCUGCCCUUGGGACCCUUCUGCAGCCAGCAAGGGCCCGGGGGCACCUCCCCGCACCUUUACCUGGCCCGGGCCAGGCCAAACUGCUGGGACCUCUUUGCUUGCUGGCCUGAGGAGCUCCCAGUGCGCCCUCCUCCUCCUGUCUUUUUCUCUUUGCUGUUUCUCUUUCUGGCUUUUUUUAUUUUAUUUCCCCCCCCCCCCUUCUGCUCUUUUGCUCUCCUUCUGGUCUGUCUUCUCUUUCUUAGUUCUCUGUUGCACUUUUUCUUCCUCUUUCACUAUUUUUCCUUCUUCCUUUCCUCUCUCCUGUUCGCGCUUUCUCUUCCAUUUCUUUGUCUCCUUUUCAUCUGCAUUUCUCAUUUUCACUAUUUCUCUAGUUCGCUAUUCUACUAGAUUUCUCUCCUGCUCCUCUCCGCUGCCCCGGGAACCCUCCCCGGGGCCGUGCCCACCCUCCUCCCCAGGUGCACCUCCGGGUGACAAAGCGGGGGGCUCACCCACACCCCCCCUUUGCGUCCCUAUCACCCCCAGACCGGGGUGCUCGCCCAGCCACCCCCCAUCGAGGAGCUAAUGAGGGCGGCGGGGCCGGCGCUGCCCACCCCCGUCCCGGGGGGGAGCCGCGCCGGUGCCACGUCCCGGCGGGGCCCCGCGGGCCGCCCUCCCCCGGGUGCCCGGCCGCGGCCGGAGCGCCGCGGAGCCGCCCCCACCGU
This 1042-nucleotide long non-coding RNA is filed under the name Calidris pygmaea (Spoon-billed sandpiper). RNAcentral describes it as "lncRNA (ENSCPGG00000007455.1)". The record is from RNAcentral. Lineage: Eukaryota; Metazoa; Chordata; Aves; Charadriiformes; Scolopacidae.